This 320-nucleotide ribosomal RNA is filed under the name uncultured bacterium. Its description in RNAcentral is "bacterial SSU rRNA". It matches the Rfam family "Bacterial small subunit ribosomal RNA", at positions 28 to 349 of the family's 1533-position model. The record is from RNAcentral.
GACGAACGCUGGCGGCGUGCUUAACACAUGCAAGUCGAGCGGUAAGGCCCUUUCGGGGGUACACGAGCGGCGAACGGGUGAGUAACACGUGGGUGACCUGCCCUCAGCUCUGGGAUAAGCCUGGGAAACUGGGUCUAAUACUGGAUAUGACUCCACGGUGCAUGUCGUGGGGUGGAAAGCCUUGUGCGGCUGAGGAUGGGCCCGCGGCCUAUCAGCUUGUUGGUGGGGUGANGGCCUACCAAGGCGACGACGGGUAGCCGGCCUGAGAGGGCGACCGGCCACACUGGGACUGAGACACGGCCCAGACUCCUACGGGAGGC